RNAcentral lists this ribosomal RNA (919 nucleotides) under uncultured Gammaproteobacteria bacterium. Its description in RNAcentral is "bacterial SSU rRNA". It matches the Rfam family "Bacterial small subunit ribosomal RNA", at positions 8 to 922 of the family's 1533-position model. The record is from RNAcentral. Lineage: Bacteria; Pseudomonadati; Pseudomonadota; Gammaproteobacteria.
AGAGUUUGAUCAUGGCUCAGAUUGAACGCUGGCGGCAGGCUUAACACAUGCAAGUCGUGCGAGAAAGUAUCUUCGGAUAUGAGUAGAGCGGCGGACGGGUGAGUAACGCGUAGGAAUCUACCUAGUAGAAGGGGAUAGCCCGGGGAAACCCGGAUUAAUACCGUAUACCUCCUUCGGGAGAAAGAAGGCCUCUCUUUGAAGCUUUCGCUAUUAGAUGAGCCUGCGUAAGAUUAGCUUGUUGGUGAGGUAAAGGCUCACCAAGGCGACGAUCUUUAGCUGGUCUGAGAGGACGAUCAGCCACAUUGGGACUGAGACACGGCCCAGACUCCUACGGGAGGCAGCAGUGGGGAAUAUUGGACAAUGGGCGCAAGCCUGAUCCAGCCAUACCGCGUGUGUGAAGAAGGCCUUCGGGUUGUAAAGCACUUUAAGCAGGGAGAAAAAGUUAUAAGCUAAUAUCUUAUAACCUUGAUGUUACCUGCAGAAUAAGCACCGGCUAAUUCCGUGCCAGCAGCCGCGGUAAUACGGAAGGUGCAAGCGUUAAUCGGAAUUACUGGGCGUAAAGCGCGCGUAGGUGGUUUGUUAAGUUGGAUGUGAAAGCCCUGGGCUCAACCUAGGAACUGCAUCCAAAACUAACUCACUAGAGUACGAUAGAGGGAGGUAGAAUUCAUAGUGUAGCGGUGGAAUGCGUAGAUAUUAUGAAGAAUACCAGUGGCGAAGGCGGCCUCCUGGAUCUGUACUGACACUGAGGUGCGAAAGCGUGGGUAGCGAACAGGAUUAGAUACCCUGGUAGUCCACGCCGUAAACGAUGACAACUAGCUGUUGGGAGACAAUGUCUUUCAGUGGCGCAGCUAACGCUUUAAGUUGUCCGCCUGGGGAGUACGGCCGCAAGGCUAAAACUCAAAUGAAUUGACGGGGACCC